RNAcentral lists this ribosomal RNA (269 nucleotides) under uncultured archaeon. RNAcentral describes it as "partial 16S ribosomal RNA". It matches the Rfam family "Archaeal small subunit ribosomal RNA", at positions 748 to 1015 of the family's 1478-position model. The record is from RNAcentral.
UAGCCGUAAACGAUACUCGCUAGGUGUCGGCCACGGUGCGACCGUUGUCGGUGCCGUAGGGAAGCCGUGAAGCGAGCCACCUGGGAAGUACGGCCGCAAGGCUGAAACUUAAAGGAAUUGGCGGGGGAGCACCACAACGGGUGGAGCUUGCGGUUUAAUUGGAUUCAACGCCGGAAAUCUUACCGGGACCGACAGCAACAUGAAGGCCAGGCUGAAGACUUUGCCGGAUUAGCUGAGAGGAGGUGCAUGGCGUAGUCGCUGAGACUACC